UACCGGCAGUCCAAGUUGCAGCCAACAUUAUUGGGUCUAAAACAUCCGUAGCUUGCUUUAAAAGUUUCUUGUGAAAUUCUGUGUCUCAAGCACAGAGCGAGCAGGAAAUACUUUAAAGCUAGAGACCGGAAGGCGUAAGAAGUACGAUCAGGGUAGUGGUAAAAUACGUUAAUCCUGAUUGGACUAACAAUCGCGAAGGCAUCUUACGAGGACGGUUCUGACAGUAAGGGAUGAAGGCUAGGGUCGCGAAAAGGAUUAGAUACCCGCGUA
Molecule: ribosomal RNA, 270 nt
Filed under: uncultured prokaryote
Description: partial 16S ribosomal RNA
Rfam family: Archaeal small subunit ribosomal RNA
Source: RNAcentral